CCUACGGGUGGCAGCAGUGAGGAAUAUUGGUCAAUGGGCUUACGCCUGAACCAGCCAAGUCGCGUGAGGGAAGACUGCCCUAUGGGUUGUAAACCUCUUUUGUCAGGGAGCAAUUGGCGCUACGUGUAGCGUUAUCGAGAGUACCUGAAGAAAAAGCAUCGGCUAACUCCGUGCCAGCAGCCGCGGUAAUACGGAGGAUCCGAGCGUUAUCCGGAUUUAUUGGGUUUAAAGGGAGCGUAGGCGGGUUGUUAAGUCAGGUGUGAAAGUUUGCGGCUCAACCGUAAAAUUGCAGUUGAUACUGGCAUCCUUGAGUACAGUAGGGGUAGGCGGAAUUCGUGGUGUAGCGGUGAAAUGCUUAGAUAUCACGAAGAACUCCGAUUGCGAAGGCAGCCUGCUGGACUGUAACUGACGCUGAUGCUCGAAAGUGUGGGUAUCAAACAGGAUUAGAUACCCCUGUAGUC
This 461-nucleotide ribosomal RNA is filed under the name uncultured bacterium. RNAcentral describes it as "partial 16S ribosomal RNA". It matches the Rfam family "Bacterial small subunit ribosomal RNA", at positions 338 to 795 of the family's 1533-position model. The record is from RNAcentral.